RNAcentral lists this ribosomal RNA (372 nucleotides) under uncultured bacterium. RNAcentral describes it as "bacterial SSU rRNA". It matches the Rfam family "Bacterial small subunit ribosomal RNA", at positions 524 to 898 of the family's 1533-position model. The record is from RNAcentral.
UACGGAGGAUCCGAGCGUUAUCCGGAUUUAUUGGGUUUAAAGGGUGCGUAGGCGGGAGAUUAAGUCAGCGGUGAAAGUUUGCAGCUUAACUGUAAGAUUGCCGUUGAAACUGAUUUUCUUGAGUGUAAAUAAGGUAGGCGGAAUGUGUUGUGUAGCGGUGAAAUGCAUAGAUAUCACACAGAAUAUCGAUUGCGAAGGCAGCUCACAAAGCUAAUAUUGACGCUGAUGCACGAAAGUGUGGGGAUCAAACAGGAGUAGAUACCCUGGUAGUCCACACUGUAAACGAUGAUAACGCGCUGUCGGCGAUACACAGUCGGUGGCCAAGCGAAAGCGAUAAGUUAUCCACCUGGGGAGUACGACCGCAAGGUUGAA